AGCGUCUCACCUUUCAAGGUUUGUAAGGCGUCAUGAUAACAAGACGCGGUUUUAGUGGAUGUGUUAUGCUGUAUGUAAUUUCAUGAUUCAAAAAGAAUAGUGAUCUUAAAAACAAACAACACACAAAGAUCUUUCGCUGGAGCACUUUUUACUGUAUUGUUUCAAAUAUUUUUCACAUCCAAGAUAUAAAGAAAAAGCAGCAUAAUUCCAGCCGUAUCUUUGGUUCUUAUUCAUGCGUUCUAGAGACAGGGACUCAGAUUUUUAAAUUAUGCUUUUUCAAAAUAUAGCCUGCUUCAACCGUUUUUCCAGAAUCUCUUACUGUACAUUAAAAUAUAUAGUUUUUGUUAAUUGUCGUUCAUAUUUUUCUGUCUUCACUUCUCAGGAAGUCAUACAAGUCCAGAAGAGUUUAAAGACUUCAUAUUAUCCUCAUUCCCAAAACUCAGAGACGGUGGUGGAUUUGAGCUCCUUAAGAUAGCUGGCAGUACUCGGAGUCGGCAGCUGAUGGUGAUCCAUGUCCAAACAGUGGCUACACUGUUCAAUAUUUAAACAAUCCCCAAAGUCAGAUCGGGAACGCUACCAUUUUCAUCAGGCCACUCCAGAGGAACCUUAUUCCACUCCUUUAUCUCAAACAGAGAGCAACAUUGAACCACCGGAGAAAUGUGUGCAGUGAGGGGAGGAGUUCCCAUUUUCUACAAUAAAAAAUCACAACGAUGAAUGCACAAGGUAUUGCACAACAAAGACUGUUGCAGAGCAGUGAUGAGGUACGAAUGGCGGUAACCGAAGAAGAUUCCCACCAACAGGACGUCAGACAGCAAGGCCCAUCAACACUAGAGAUACCUCAGGGACCUGCUGCUACUCCAGAGAUUGUUGAUCUAGUUUCCAUUGAAGAGAGAGGCUCUGCUGGUCUGGUCCAUUGAAAUUACACAUUUCAUGCUUUAUUUCAGUAGUUUGUUGCUCCCUACAGUGCGUGGAAGUAAUUAGUAAUUUUCUAUAUUCUAAACUGCUUAUAGGUUGGAAAAUUGAGACAGCAAAGAGAUUCAAAGAAGGGCUGUUGGGUCAGCAUGAAACUGAAAAAACUUCAAGUAUCGUCUUG
This is a long non-coding RNA of Girardinichthys multiradiatus, 1093 nucleotides long. RefSeq lists it as uncharacterized. The record is from RefSeq and is a predicted model, not a curated record. The transcript is spliced from 3 exons. NCBI's taxonomy places the organism in Eukaryota, Metazoa, Chordata, Actinopteri, Cyprinodontiformes, Goodeidae.